Molecule: ribosomal RNA, 526 nt
Filed under: uncultured bacterium
Lineage: Bacteria
Description: partial 16S ribosomal RNA
Rfam family: Bacterial small subunit ribosomal RNA
Source: RNAcentral
UGGGGAAUUUUGGACAAUGGGCGAAAGCCUGAUCCAGCAAUGCCGCGUGAGUGAAGAAGGCCUUCGGGUUGUAAAGCUCUUUUGUCAGGGAAGAAACGGUGAAAGCUAAUAUCUUUUGCUAAUGACGGUACCUGAAGAAUAAGCACCGGCUAACUACGUGCCAGCAGCCGCGGUAAUACGUAGGGUGCAAGCGUUAAUCGGAAUUACUGGGCGUAAAGCGUGCGCAGGCGGUUUUGUAAGUCUGAUGUGAAAUCCCCGGGCUCAACCUGGGAAUUGCAUUGGAGACUGCAAGGCUAGAAUCUGGCAGAGGGGGGUAGAAUUCCACGUGUAGCAGUGAAAUGCGUAGAUAUGUGGAGGAACACCGAUGGCGAAGGCAGCCCCCUGGGUCAAGAUUGACGCUCAUGCACGAAAGCGUGGGGAGCAAACAGGAUUAGAUACCCUGGUAGUCCACGCCCUAAACGAUGUCUACUAGUUGUCGGGUCUUAAUUGACUUGGUAACGCAGCUAACGCGUGAAGUAGACCGCCU